UUUUCCUAAAAUAGGAUUGUCGAAAACCAACCUAAAGGAACAUAGAUGUGUCCUUUUUCGUCAUUUCCUCCAUGCAUCCAAACCCACCUACGAACGCGUGUGGUCUCAACUCUCAUAAAUCAAACCGAACACAAAGCGUUAAUCUUCUGUCUCUUUCUUUUUUUUUCAUUAUUAACAGCAAAACUAAAAAGAAUUUCUGUGCUUCCUUUUUUCUUAUUGUUUUACUCUCUCUCUCUCUCUCUGCUAAGUCCUCAAGAAUUCAACUAUUUUGUAUUAAUGAAAGCUACGCUCUCUCCUUCAAGGUUGGCUUUGGCACGUGGGUUUUAACGUUCGAGUUCUUCUAUGGAGAUGGAAGCUACUCUUUUGGAUAAUGACAUGGAGGGCGUGGAAGAUGAAUCUGCUGAACAAUUACUUGCUUCAUGUUCCUUUUUGGAUCAAAUUUUUGGAGAUCCACAGGUG
Molecule: non-coding RNA, 459 nt
Organism: Durio zibethinus
Lineage: Eukaryota; Viridiplantae; Streptophyta; Magnoliopsida; Malvales; Malvaceae
Source: RefSeq, a predicted model, not a curated record